UACGGAGGAUCCAAGCGUUAUCCGGAAUCAUUGGGUUUAAAGGGUGCGUAGGCGGCCCUGUAAGUCAGUGGUGAAAUACUCCAGCUUAACUGGAGGGGUGCCAUUGAUACUGCAGGGCUUGAGUUAAGUUGAAGUUGGCGGAAUUGACGGUGUAGCGGUGAAAUGCUUAGAUAUCGUCAAGAACACCGAUAGUGAAGACAGCUAACUAAACUUUUACUGACGCUGAGGCACGAAAGUGUGGGGAUCAAACAGG
Molecule: ribosomal RNA, 253 nt
Filed under: uncultured bacterium
Lineage: Bacteria
Description: partial 16S ribosomal RNA
Rfam family: Bacterial small subunit ribosomal RNA
Source: RNAcentral